AGAUCCGUCAGUAAUCCAUGAGUGACGAGAGCGAAGCUUGAAGCUUCUAGACUCCAUGAGCUGGCAGGGGCUUAACGGAAAAUGUUCCCGAAACCCAUCGCCGGAGCUCGCCGUCGGUUUUCAAGGACUCCGGUCAAGGGUCAUUUCGUGAGCCAGCCUUUGCUCGUUCGGAGGUCUUUCCGCAGCUGAGUAAAAUGCCCAGCUUGUCGUCCUCCACUCUCGCCGAACGAGACCUCGACUCGCCUGAAAAACCAGGACGCGACCUCCCAGUCGCUCUGUGCCCUCCCUCUUUCCGACCGGCGAACCACCGCACGGGACCGGCGAGAGGACCGCGACCUCCCUCUCUCUCUGCAUUCCCUCUUUCCGACCGACGAACCACCGCACGGGCGAGAGGACCGCGAGCAAUCGACGGACCACUGCACGGGACUGGCGAGAGGACCGCGACCUCCUCUCUCUCUGCCCUCCCUCUUUCCGACCGGCGAACCACCGCGAGAAAAUCAGAUGUUUUUGUAGAGAUCUCCCAUCGUCGCCUUCAUCUUCUUCCCCCUUUUUUUUUGUUUUGUUGUUUUUUUUUUUCCCUAGUGUUCUAAUGGUGGAUCUGGAGUUGCAUAUGAAGGACGACGUGAUGUCUCACAUCAACCUCGACGGCUUCUUCGGCGACCUCCCUGAGACCGGCGACGUCAUCGGCGCUUACUCCUCGACGAUCGCGUCGUCGUCGUCUCCAGACUCGGGGCUCUCGUGGUUCGACGAGAUCGAGAACAUUCUGAUGAAGGACGACGAUGUCCACGUGCUUGCUGAGCCGGGGGCUGAGCGGGCCGUGCCGGAGGGACUCGAGCUUCCAGCGGACCUUCGCUUCCCCGGCCCCUCGCCGCCGGCUUCUCCCCACCUCCUGCAAGAUGCGGCAGCGCGGCCUUAGUUCUGGGAGCAGGAGGCCGCUGGUCAAGAAGGCUUCGCUGGAUAGGCUGCCGUCGAUUGUGGUUAAUGGAGAGGGCGAAGAGGACGCUGCUUUGGCGGAGAGCGUGCGUAGCGCUGAUUGGGAAAUUGUGGCUGAUGAUUCUGAGGACGAUGAUUCCGAUGGAGUCGUGAUUGAUGUGGAGAACCAGAAUGCUGAUAGAACAGAAGCUUCCGAUGGUACAGCGAUGGAGACAAAUUUGCACCAUGUUUCGUCAAUGGAGUAACUCUCACCACAGUGAGGAAGAUGACUCGCUGCAGUUUGAAUCUAAGAUCAUGGGCAUUGGAGGCAAAUGACAUGAAUUGUUUCAACAUCCAAUUUCAGCUGGAUUUAGUCUUUGGAGAUUUACUAAAAGAAAGAGGCAGGUUGCUUUCAACAUCCUCACCCCUGGAGGAUUUGUCCACUCGAGGAUCCAAGUAAUAAACCAAAGCUUGCAUAUCUUUCAAAGAUUUUGAUUGCACUUUUAAGCUAUGGCGGGUCCCUAAUGAACUUCUUUUGGACAUGGUGGAGAAUGCUCUGGGAGAUGCAAAUAGUGUCUUCUCUAGUAAACGAGCAGCUCCAAGAGGUAGUAUUCUUCUGAACUUUUGGACUGUUGAUGCAUAAGUAAAAAAAUGCAUCUCUAUUCAUCUUUGCUGGUUUUACUUCCGUUGGGUGCGUAUUUCCUUCAAUUGCUAUUUGAUGUGUAAACAUUUUCCCUUGUGUUUUCCUUUUGUUCUU
Eucalyptus grandis is the source of this 1669-nucleotide long non-coding RNA. RefSeq lists it as uncharacterized. The transcript has 6 exons. Lineage: Eukaryota; Viridiplantae; Streptophyta; Magnoliopsida; Myrtales; Myrtaceae. The record is from RefSeq and is a predicted model, not a curated record.